UAUAAAAAAAGAAACACAAACUAAAAUUCCUAAACCAAAACCUAAUCAUCCUCACGCUAGCCGUCACUCUCCCUCCCCCACAUUGUUAUUUCUUUCUUUCACCUUUAGUAAUCGGCAGUUCAAGGCUGCGAGAAAGACAAAAAAGGAUCAACAAGAGUGUAUCCCCAUUGCGAUCUUCAUUUAUGGACAAAAUUUUUAAUUUUUUGGUUCGUCUCUUCCCGGAUGCUCAAGAGAAAAGUCCCUUUGGAAAAUUGUAUUAUCAAUGCCAAACCUCUAGUGAUUUGAAGAGUGCUUCAUAUAUUCUUGGAUGCAUAAAGAUCAACAACUGCGAUGAGGGUGGUAACAUAAAGCAUCAAGAUCAACGGGGGUGGCAACAUGAAUCAUCAAGCAAAUGCUUAUAUUCGUUUAUAUGGAAUGUCGUACAUUAUUUCAGAUCUAUAUUACCAUAAAGCCUCACAUCGGCUAGUUCUUUUCGUCAAAUUUUAGUUACUAUAAAAGAGUUAUGUACUGCAGAUGAUAUUAAUUGAUUAAUAUAAUGUGUAUCUUGGAAUUUAUUUAGUGAAAAUUUUUAUAUGUUAA
This is a long non-coding RNA of Nicotiana attenuata, 579 nucleotides long. RefSeq lists it as uncharacterized. NCBI's taxonomy places the organism in Eukaryota, Viridiplantae, Streptophyta, Magnoliopsida, Solanales, Solanaceae. The record is from RefSeq and is a predicted model, not a curated record. The transcript has 3 exons.